Long non-coding RNA from Sphaerodactylus townsendi, 273 nucleotides. RefSeq lists it as uncharacterized. The transcript has 3 exons. NCBI's taxonomy places the organism in Eukaryota, Metazoa, Chordata, Lepidosauria, Squamata, Sphaerodactylidae. The record is from RefSeq and is a predicted model, not a curated record.
CUGAUGAACAGAGAAGUCUCAUAGCUAAUAACCAGAGGGAAGUCACUCACUACUGAAUGCCAGCGAUGGGAGAUCAUGUAUCCAAGUUUGAAGUAGAAUAGUCCGUUCUACUUUCUCUGCACUCAGCCAUCCAUACCCUUAUAGGCCUUAAAGCCUUGCAAAGGGGCUACUUUAUCAGGAUCAGAGCUCUUCCAAAGUAGACUUAUAUUUCAAGGGUUUUCUUUUGUGGUUGUAAUGGGUGAGAGUUCUCCUGGAGACCUUCAUCAUGUUGCA